GACGAACGCUGGCGGCGUGCUUAACACAUGCAAGUCGAGCGGAAAGGCCCUGCUUUUGUGGGGUGCUCGAGUGGCGAACGGGUGAGUAACACGUGAGUAACCUGCCCUUGACUUUGGGAUAACUUCAGGAAACUGGGGCUAAUACCGGAUAGGAGCUCCUGCUGCAUGGUGGGGGUUGGAAAGUUUCGGCGGUUGGGGAUGGACUCGCGGCUUAUCAGCUUGUUGGUGGGGUAGUGGCUUACCAAGGCUUUGACGGGUAGCCGGCCUGAGAGGGUGACCGGCCACAUUGGGACUGAGAUACGGCCCAGACUCCUACGGGAGGCAGCAGUGGGGAAUAUUGCACAAUGGGCGGAAGCCUGAUGCAGCAACGCCGCGUGCGGGAUGAAGGCCUUCGGGUUGUAAACCGCUUUCGCCUGUGACGAAGCGUGAGUGACGGUAAUGGGUAAAGAAGCACCGGCUAACUACGUG
Molecule: ribosomal RNA, 468 nt
Filed under: uncultured bacterium
Lineage: Bacteria
Description: partial 16S ribosomal RNA
Rfam family: Bacterial small subunit ribosomal RNA
Source: RNAcentral